AAGUCGUAACAAGGUUUCCGUAGGUGAACCUGCGGAAGGAUCAUUAACACGUAUCCAACGUUAAACCCCCCGUGCACACAGAGACCAGCUCCCCUCAAUUUCGGUCUUUUGGCAAUCUCUGGUAAAUCAUCGCCGAACAGUUUUGAUUCAGAGACAUCCAAAGGGCCGGGGUAGGGUAUUGAAGUAGUUGUCCCAUGCAAGCAGCCUGGUUUCUUGGAAGCAGAAAGUGUGAUAGAAGAUGUCGGAGAACGGACCGAGUGGUAGUUCGAAGAUGACUUCUGUCGCGCGCUGUGAAAAAGAAGACGCUUUACGAAUCACUGAUCACCCCGACAGUCGCAGACGCGGGUAGGGAUACGUCCUUACCAAAAAAUAAAUACUUGAACAACUGUUAACAAUGGAUAUCUUGGUUCUC
Molecule: unclassified non-coding RNA, 412 nt
Filed under: fungal sp.
Lineage: Eukaryota; Fungi
Description: partial internal transcribed spacer region
Rfam family: Eukaryotic small subunit ribosomal RNA (bases 1-46)
Source: RNAcentral